GCAGUCCAGCGAGCGCCGGCGGAUGGCUUGCCCUACGAAGGCAGGGGGUUGUUGGUUCGAUCCCAACCAGGUGCUCCA
This 78-nucleotide transfer RNA is filed under the name Roseateles sp. Its description in RNAcentral is "tRNA-Arg". Lineage: Bacteria; Pseudomonadati; Pseudomonadota; Betaproteobacteria; Burkholderiales; Sphaerotilaceae. The record is from RNAcentral.